Podarcis muralis (Common wall lizard) is the source of this 629-nucleotide long non-coding RNA. RefSeq lists it as uncharacterized. NCBI's taxonomy places the organism in Eukaryota, Metazoa, Chordata, Lepidosauria, Squamata, Lacertidae. The record is from RefSeq and is a predicted model, not a curated record.
GCGGGGGAGGGAGGGAGUCGGAAAGGGGGAUCUUCUUGUUCCCCAGGUCGCCCCUUGCCACGAGAGAAGCCCAUGCGGGUGCCUAUGGUGACCUGAGGAUCCAUAGCGAUCUAAGGAUGAGGUCUUGCUCACGGCGCAAUCCCGUGGGAGACUUCAGCUAUUUAGUUGUUUGGAUGUCAGUCAAUUACACUUAGGAAGCUCUGGCUAAAUAUAUUUAUGAAGAUUUUCACAUCAUUAAGGCAUGGAAUUCAAUCAGCAAGCAUGAGCAGAGUAGGAGCUGCACUUAGUUGGGAUUUUGCCGUCGUUGGUAUUCUCUCACCUCCUGGCACAGAGAAGGCCAUUCAAUGCAGCCUAACGUUCAGACUGCCUACACGCUGACCUGUCUGCAUCUCAAAAAUGUCGUUUUCCUCGACCCAGAAUUGUUCAUCUUUUUCUUCAGCAUGCUGCUUUCAAUCUAGAUUGAUUCUGGAUCCUGCUGGCCCCUCCGGCUUUCUUAAACAGGCAAAGAAGAGUGAAAAGCAGCAGCCCAUGAAAAGCCAAUCCCUAGGUCUACAAGCAUUGGAGGCAGUGAGAGAUUUUACUUUCGUGGGCUCCAUGAUCACUGCAGAUGGUGACAGCAGUCACGAAAU